RNAcentral lists this transfer RNA (33 nucleotides) under Rosa cymosa. RNAcentral describes it as "partial tRNA-Val". RNAcentral also lists the same sequence under 6 other names. Lineage: Eukaryota; Viridiplantae; Streptophyta; Magnoliopsida; Rosales; Rosaceae. The record is from RNAcentral.
UAAUUUCUAUGUAAUUAGUUAAAUUUCUAUUUA